Non-coding RNA from Ornithorhynchus anatinus (platypus), 137 nucleotides. The record is from Rfam. Lineage: Eukaryota; Metazoa; Chordata; Mammalia; Monotremata; Ornithorhynchidae.
CCCCUCUCAGGGUCGCACCUGAAGAGUUUCCAGUACUCUCCAGUCUUGGCUACAUGAGGCAGAGUCAAGCAGAGGCCUAUCCAUUCCAUUCCUAGCUUGGUCAGUGGCUAGCGACUGGAAGGCCAUCUGCUACAAAU